CGAAAGCCUGACGGAGCAAUACCGCGUGGGGGAGGAAGGCUCUUGGGUCG
Molecule: ribosomal RNA, 50 nt
Filed under: uncultured cyanobacterium
Lineage: Bacteria; Bacillati; Cyanobacteriota
Description: partial 16S ribosomal RNA
Source: RNAcentral